GCUAGGUGCAGUGGCGGGCACCUGUAAUCCAAGCUACUCUGGAAGCUGAGGCAGGAGAAUCACUUGAACCCAGGAGGCAGAGGUUGCAGUGAGCAGAGAUCGUGCCACUGCACUCCAGCCUGGGUAACAGAGUGGGACUCUGUCUCAA
Molecule: non-coding RNA, 148 nt
Organism: Pan troglodytes (chimpanzee)
Lineage: Eukaryota; Metazoa; Chordata; Mammalia; Primates; Hominidae
Rfam family: Metazoan signal recognition particle RNA
About the family: The signal recognition particle (SRP) is a universally conserved ribonucleoprotein.
Source: Rfam